Photinus pyralis (common eastern firefly) is the source of this 384-nucleotide long non-coding RNA. RefSeq lists it as uncharacterized. The record is from RefSeq and is a predicted model, not a curated record. NCBI's taxonomy places the organism in Eukaryota, Metazoa, Arthropoda, Insecta, Coleoptera, Lampyridae. The transcript has 2 exons.
CAUAUUUUAAAGCCGUUUCCAUUUCGUAAUAUGACUUGGCAACAACGUAUAUUCAAUUAUCGCCUAAGCAGAGCACGAAGAGUUGUGGAGAACGCAUUUGGGAUAUUAACAAAUCGUUUUCGUGUAUUAUUGAACAUUAUAAGUUUGGACCCAAGUCCCCAAAUGGUUAUGAUGUUAAGGAACAGAACAUUGAUAGGCGAUUCACAUUUAAGUACACCUUAAGUCGACAAGCAGGCAACAGGUCAACUGCAUCAGCACUUGAUAAUCGAAAUGAAUUUGUACAAUAUGUAAAUGGUAUAGGAGCAGUAGAAUGGCAAAAUGACUUAGCAUAGCAUUAUUAUUAUCAAUAAACAAAUGUACAAAAUAAAAUCUAAUCAUAUUGAG